This is a non-coding RNA of Jatropha curcas, 1022 nucleotides long. The record is from RefSeq and is a predicted model, not a curated record. Lineage: Eukaryota; Viridiplantae; Streptophyta; Magnoliopsida; Malpighiales; Euphorbiaceae.
GAGAGAGAUAAUGGGAUUUCUCCAGCCAGCUUGUUGAGUUGUAGUUUCAGAACCUGAAGAUUGCUAAUAUCACCCAAUUGCACCGGUAAACUACCCGUGAGAUUAUUCUGAGCCAAAUUCAAGAGAGCCAAACCUUGGCAAGAACCUAACUGAGUAGGUAUCGCACCAGUCAAGUUAUUGUUAUUCAUCUCCAAGUAAGUCAACUUAUGAGAUGAAGUGAGUGAAGAAGGUAUUGACCCAUUAAGCAAAUUACUUCCCAAUCUCAGUCUGAUCAAGUUUUGAGAUAUAUUUCUAGGUAUUGAACCAUCCAACAGAUUAUAAGACAAAUCCACAGAUAUCAAAUUCAACUGUGAUAAGAGGUCUAAUGGAAUAGACCCACUUAACUUAUUAUAACUAAGAUCUAAAAGAGUAAGAUAUUUCGUAAUUCCACUGGGAAUUGCACCAACAAACCCAUUUUGAUUUGCUGCAAACCUAUACAGAGUUGGAAUGUCUGCAAUAGUUUUGGGGAUUUCUCCAGUCAAAUUGUUGGCGGACAGAAUCAAAGUAUUCAGCUUUGUGAGAUUACCAAUCGAGUUAGGAAUAGGCCCCUCAAGGUUAUUUGCACUAAGAUCAAUGAAGGUCAAAUUUUGAUAAUUAAAUAUUUCCUUAGGUAUGUCACCUCGGAAUCUAUUCGCAGAAAGCUUGACAUCCUCUAACACCAUAGAUUUUCCAAGUUUUACAGGAACAGAACCAGUGAAACUAUUGAAAGUAAGAUUCAAUCCUUUAAGUUCAAGUAAUCCAUCUAAUUGCAAACUAAUAUUACCAGUCAAAUUAUUAAAAGACAGGUCCAAAGAUUCUAACCCAACAAAACCAUUAAAAAUAGGCAAAUAACCACCCAAUAUAUUUCUGCUAAAAUUCAGCACCUUUCACCCGCUAAUCCUUCCACAACUAUCAAUAAACUCCCUUGGGAUUGAGCCGAAGCGGUUAUUAGAGAGAUCAAGGGAAUGUAAAGAUUCAAUCUUGCAAACAAGGGACAAAAACCC